RNAcentral lists this ribosomal RNA (456 nucleotides) under uncultured bacterium. Its description in RNAcentral is "SSU rRNA". It matches the Rfam family "Bacterial small subunit ribosomal RNA", at positions 26 to 518 of the family's 1533-position model. The record is from RNAcentral.
AGAACGAACGCUGGCGGCAUGCCUAACACAUGCAAGUCGAACGUGAUCCAGGCUUCGGCCUGGUGAAAGUGGCAGACGGGUGAGUAACGCGUGGGAACCUGCCCUGUGGUAGGGAAUAACCGUGGGAAACUGCGGCUAAUACCCUAUGAGUCCUUCGGGAGAAAGAUUUAUCGCCAUAGGAGGGGCCCGCGUCGGAUUAGGUAGUUGGUGGGGUAACGGCCUACCAAGCCUUCGAUCCGUAGCUGGUCUGAGAGGAUGAUCAGCCACACUGGGACUGAGAUACGGCCCAGACUCCUACGGGAGGCAGCAGUGGGGAAUAUUGGACAAUGGGGGCAACCCUGAUCCAGCAAUGCCGCGUGGAUGAUGAAGGCCUUCGGGUUGUAAAGUCCUUUCGGCGGGGAAGAUGAUGACGGUACCGCAGAAGAAGCCCCGGCUAACCUUCGCGCCAGCAGCCGC